GUAUUUUUUAAUAGUUUUUUAAAAUUGUUUUACAUAUAUAAUGUAUGUAAUGUUAUUAUUAUUUCAGGAUUACCGCUUUGAGGUAGUCUUCAUUGAUGUAUGCUUGAUUUUGAAAAUAAAAAAAAAAUCCAGUAAACUAUAUGUACACUAAAUGAAUUUCAUCAACACACCAGAGCCAAUGGGUAUGCCCGAUCAUGUGUCUGAGGACACUGUGAUGUAUACGAGUUAAAGAUGAACUCCUGUCGGAUUUGUUAACGGCUGGAUGAUGAUCAUACAAAGACAGUUAAAGGCAACGAAAAGGAAUGCAAGGGAAUAAAUGCUGCCAGUGAGAAAUAAAAUGACAGUUUAAAAGUUGAAUCGGAAUAAUAUAUUCACAUUGAGUGUAGAAAGAUGUACUGUAACCCACAUUACACUAAAAGAGACACUAAGACAGAAAAAGAAAACACUGAUGCCACCAUUGAGAUCAAUGACUGAUAAGUUUUCAUACAAAAAGAUUGUUUAUAUUGUGGUCAAUCUUUAAUAAGUAAGGGUAAAACAAGGAAGUGUGAUGUUUCGCCAGUAAGGACACUAGAACCUACUGUUUUGAAUAUAUGUAUACAGAGGAAUAACUGUUUGUCUGAUACAGUGAGAGCAAGGAUAGAACAGGUUCACAACUUGCUUGUAGCCGAUGCUCUUUACCAUCAAACAUGUUUAUGCUCCUCUAAUUUCAGAACUGGAAAAGAUAUACCAGAAGAAUUUCAGGUGCUACCAUCUAGUGAUAAAAA
This is a long non-coding RNA of Ruditapes philippinarum (Manila clam), 764 nucleotides long. RefSeq lists it as uncharacterized. The transcript has 3 exons. The record is from RefSeq and is a predicted model, not a curated record. NCBI's taxonomy places the organism in Eukaryota, Metazoa, Mollusca, Bivalvia, Venerida, Veneridae.